GUGCCAGCAGCCGCGGUAAUACGUAGGUCCCGAGCGUUGUCCGGAUUUAUUGGGCGUAAAGCGAGCGCAGGCGGUUAGAUAAGUCUGAAGUUAAAGGCUGUGGCUUAACCAUAGUACGCUUUGGAAACUGUUUAACUUGAGUGCAAGAGGGGAGAGUGGAAUUCCAUGUGUAGCGGUGAAAUGCGUAGAUAUAUGGAGGAACACCGGUGGCGAAAGCGGCUCUCUGGCUUGUAACUGACGCUGAGGCUCGAAAGCGUGGGGAGCAAACAGGA
Molecule: ribosomal RNA, 272 nt
Filed under: uncultured Streptococcaceae bacterium
Lineage: Bacteria; Bacillati; Bacillota; Bacilli; Lactobacillales; Streptococcaceae
Description: partial 16S ribosomal RNA
Rfam family: Bacterial small subunit ribosomal RNA
Source: RNAcentral